CCUACGGGAGGCAGCAGUGGGGGAUAUUGCACAAUGGGGGAAACCCUGAUGCAGCGACGCCGCGUGUGGGAAGACGGUCCUCUGGAUUGUAAACCACUGUCCCCAGGGACGAAGAUGACGGUACCUGGGGAGGAAGCUCCGGCUAACUACGUGCCAGCAGCCGCGGUAAUACGUAGGGAGCGAGCGUUGUCCGGAAUUACUGGGUGUAAAGGGAGCGUAGGCGGGACUGCAAGUUGGGUGUCAAAUCUACCGGCUCAACCGGUAGCCGCACUCAAAACUGCAGUUCUUGAGUGAAGUAGAGGCAGGCGGAAUUCCUAGUGUAGCGGUGAAAUGCGUAGAUAUUAGGAGGAACACCAGUGGCGAAGGCGGCCUGCUGGGCUUUUACUGACGCUGAGGCUCGAAAGUGUGGGGAGCGAACAGGAUUAGAUACCCUGGUAGUC
This 440-nucleotide ribosomal RNA is filed under the name uncultured bacterium. RNAcentral's name for it is "partial 16S ribosomal RNA". It matches the Rfam family "Bacterial small subunit ribosomal RNA", at positions 338 to 795 of the family's 1533-position model. The record is from RNAcentral.